This 497-nucleotide ribosomal RNA is filed under the name uncultured bacterium. RNAcentral's name for it is "partial 16S ribosomal RNA". It matches the Rfam family "Bacterial small subunit ribosomal RNA", at positions 28 to 507 of the family's 1533-position model. The record is from RNAcentral.
GACGAACGCUGGCGGCGUGCCUAAUACAUGCAAGUAGAACGCUGAAGAGAGGAGCUUGCUCUUCUUGGAUGAGUUGCGAACGGGUGAGUAACGCGUAGGUAACCUGCCUUGUAGCGGGGGAUAACUAUUGGAAACGAUAGCUAAUACCGCAUAACAAUGGAUGACACAUGUCAUUUAUUUGAAAGGGGCAAUUGCUCCACUACAAGAUGGACCUGCGUUGUAUUAGCUAGUAGGUGAGGUAAUGGCUCACCUAGGCGACGAUACAUAGCCGACCUGAGAGGGCGGUCGGCCACACUGGGACUGUGACACGGCCCAGACUCCUACGGGAGGCAGCAGUAGGGAAUCUUCGGCAAUGGGGGCAACCCUGACCGAGCAACGCCGAGUGAGUGAAGAAGGUUUUCGGAUCGUAAAGCUCUGUUGUAAGUCAAGAACGGGUGUGAGAGUGGAAAGUUCACACUGUGACGGUAGCUUACCAGAAAGGGACGGCUAACUACGUG